AUGACAAUGUUGGUACCCGUGUGCAACCGGAAAGAAACCCUUCUCGCAUACACGCUUUUCUUUAAGCACAUCGUGAGAUUGAGGAUGCAACCACUCAUGGUCGGCUCCGGGAUGAUCUAG
RNAcentral lists this ribosomal RNA (120 nucleotides) under Triticum aestivum (bread wheat). RNAcentral's name for it is "partial small subunit ribosomal RNA". Lineage: Eukaryota; Viridiplantae; Streptophyta; Magnoliopsida; Poales; Poaceae. The record is from RNAcentral.